Molecule: long non-coding RNA, 310 nt
Filed under: Trifolium pratense (red clover)
Lineage: Eukaryota; Viridiplantae; Streptophyta; Magnoliopsida; Fabales; Fabaceae
Description: long non-coding RNA (TPRA_LNC011486)
Source: RNAcentral
CGAGAGUGAAUGGAAAUGGAUGAAACCGUUACUACUGCUACCUUACUUAGAGUCGGUAGGUAGGUAGGUAGGUAGGUAGGUAGGUAGGUAGGUGUGUAGAUAAAGUAAUAAUGGUGAGUAAUUCAGUUCGUUCUGAUGUGGUGUUUGGUUUUGGUGGGAGUAUCAAACGCCACUGUGGCACUCGCCGGAGUUUCAAACUGUCAAGUAAAAGGAAGACAAUAAUUAGCGGUGGCAAAAUAAGUUACUACUCCUUCUCCUGUGUUGAAAUUGAAAUUGAUAUAUGUUAUUUUAUUUUAUUUUUUUAAAAAAA